Molecule: long non-coding RNA, 216 nt
Filed under: Struthio camelus australis
Lineage: Eukaryota; Metazoa; Chordata; Aves; Struthioniformes; Struthionidae
Description: lncRNA (ENSSCUG00000017726.1)
Source: RNAcentral
GCGAGAACCGGUGCGCUCCCUCACUUGGGCUGCUAAUAACUAUUUCUCGGUGUCUGCGAAGAACUUGCUCCUCACACAGAGCUGGAGAAGAGAUCAGCUACUCAUUUUACAGGGUGAAAUCUGUUUUACGUGACGUGCCGAACGCCUGAGAGCUGGGGUCGUUGGAAAGCUGCUGGUUACCCCUCUCGUCCUUUCUAAAUGACACACCAAAAGUUU